RNAcentral lists this long non-coding RNA (259 nucleotides) under Setaria viridis. Its description in RNAcentral is "long non-coding RNA (SVIR_LNC006800)". Lineage: Eukaryota; Viridiplantae; Streptophyta; Magnoliopsida; Poales; Poaceae. The record is from RNAcentral.
GGAACUGGGGGAAACACGGCGAGGGGUCAGAUCACAGGGGGUCAGGACUGAGCUGGAGGUUGAGCACUUAGACUUGGUAAACUGAGAUAGGGGAUCAGGGACUCGGAUUAAGAUUAACGCGAAGGAUUUUUAACCAAGGUCGUUACACCCUACCCCCCUUAAGAAGAAUCUCGUCCCGAGAUUCGGAUGUAGAAGCAACCAGUGGGGGUGUGUAGCCCUUACCUCCUUGGCUGGAAAGAAAACCUGGGAAGUGCUUGUU